Molecule: ribosomal RNA, 376 nt
Filed under: uncultured fungus
Lineage: Eukaryota; Fungi
Description: eukaryotic LSU rRNA
Rfam family: 5.8S ribosomal RNA (bases 1-125)
Source: RNAcentral
GCAUCGAUGAAGAACGCAGCCAGUUGCGAUAAGUAGUGUGAAUUGCAGAAUUUAGUGAAUCAUCGAAUCUUUGAACGCAAAUUGCGCUUUCUGGAUAUCCAGGGAGCACGCCUGUCUGAGCGUCGCCUAAUAAUCAACACACCUUGGUGUGGGUAGGGAGCUUAGUUAGCUAGUUCUAACUAUCUCUUGAUGUUUCUGAACCUGGCAGUGUACUCUGUGUACUGCUUGGAAGGCUCAACUUGCUUCUGUCCUUCUAAAGCACGCUCGGUGUACUAAGUUAGGUUCCCCUUCUGAAGUAACAUUCAGAAACUUACUAUUUUGACCUCAGAUCAGACGAGACUACCCGCUGAAUUUAAGCAUAUCAAUAAGCGGAGGA